RNAcentral lists this small RNA (125 nucleotides) under Marmota monax (woodchuck). The record is from RNAcentral. Lineage: Eukaryota; Metazoa; Chordata; Mammalia; Rodentia; Sciuridae.
GCCAGGCACAGUGGUGUGCACCUGUAAUCCCAGCUGCUAGGGAGGCUGAGACAGGAGGAUCGUGAGUUCAAAGCCAGUCUCAGCAAAAGCGAGGAGCUAAGCAAUUCAUUGAGCCCUUAUCUCUA